This is a long non-coding RNA of Drosophila mojavensis, 1002 nucleotides long. RefSeq lists it as uncharacterized. NCBI's taxonomy places the organism in Eukaryota, Metazoa, Arthropoda, Insecta, Diptera, Drosophilidae. The record is from RefSeq and is a predicted model, not a curated record. The transcript has 3 exons.
CGAACAGAAGCGACUAGAAAUUGACGUACAGCGAGAGCACAGUUACAAAGCAUAAAAUUAAAAUGUGCAGCUUUUAGUUGGCCUUCGUCAUAUGCUAUUCAUACGAUGUCUGUUUCCAUGAUGACGAUAUGUUUGUUUGCCCCACUGCGACAGGGCACAGUGGACUGUCUAUAGAAUAUUAAAUUAAUUCUUAAAAUUAACUUAUUUAUAUUUUUUAUUUUUUAUUAUAGAUUUCUCAAGAGCUUAUUCUUGGCUCAAUCUGUACAUUCAUAUGCCGGACUUACUGGGCGACCUAAGAAUAUUAUAUAUGUAGUUAAACUAAUGUAUCAAUUCAAGUAUUCGAGGAAUAAGUUUAAAUAAUGCGAUUAAAACUUUAAGUUGCGGUUUAUUAAUACAUACUGUUUCUCUUUUUCUAGAAUAAAUUAUAUAAAUAUAUUCAACUGAUGAAAAUGGCAUAAUGAUUGAGGAUCAGAAAGAGCAAUCGACUAUAGAUUGGUUCAGCUGUUCAUCUCUCUUUGGAAACCAUCUUAGUUCACUCCAAGUUGUCUGAGAGAUCGCUUGAACUAUAUAUGUAACUUGAAAAAUUGAAGUUUAUGGCAUCGGCCUAUCAUAUAUAUAAAUUACAAUUGUUUGCUGACCACUGUGCCACUUGCUGGUCGGCUGGCUUUCGAGGGACUUGCUUGACCCGUGGACCAGCUACAUUCGACCAUCCAGCCAUCCAGCCAUCCAUCCAUCCAACCAUUCGACCGACCAUCCGCCGCCCACUCUCGCUCGUUCGCUCAAUUUUGGCUGCUUAUGGCCACUUGUAACAUAUUUUUUGGGCAGCGGAUUAGUUGCACGCCAUGUUGCCACUUGAAGUGUUUAUGUGUCACAUACACACACACACAGGCACACUCCCACACACACACACACACACACACGCUUAUACACAAACACUAGCAUAAGUAUAUCAUGCGACACUUAAUAAAAACAAUGUGCUCAACAUGCCGCCUUAAAUGGAAA